Ovis aries (sheep) is the source of this 57-nucleotide transfer RNA. It matches the Rfam family "tRNA", at positions 8 to 63 of the family's 71-position model. From Rfam's summary of the family: Transfer RNA (tRNA) molecules are approximately 80 nucleotides in length. NCBI's taxonomy places the organism in Eukaryota, Metazoa, Chordata, Mammalia, Artiodactyla, Bovidae. The record is from Rfam.
UGGCUCAGAUGGUAAAGAAUCUGCCUGCAAUGCAGAAGACCCAGGUUCAAUCCCUGG